CUGGAAAUACUUUCUUAAUUUUCUCUUAAAACUUUUUAUUGUAGAUGUAUGGAAAUUGAACUGAUUUUUGGUGCUGAUACUGUAUUCUGCAAAUACGCUGAAUGUGUUCAUUAGUUCCAGUGGAAUUUAGUUGACUCUGUGAUUUUCUACACAGAAGAUCAUGUCAUCUUCAAACAAAUACAGUUGUACUUUUUUUCUGAUUUGAAUGAGUUUUAUUUCUCUUGCUUUGUAAUUACUCUUGCUAGGACAACAGUAUUUAUUGAAUAGAAGGAGUGAGAGCAUACUUACAUCAUAAGACUCUACAAGAAAAGCAUUGUGUUUGUUUUGAUGUUAUUUCUGCUGUGGUAAUUUCAAGGAUGGUCUUUAUAUUAUUGAGGCAAAUUUCCUUCUCUAUUUUGUUUAGGAUUUCUAUGAUGACUGAAUGUUGAAUUUUGUGAAAUGCUUCUUUCCCAUCUAUUCAGAUGAUGUCUUUUUCAUCUUUCAUUCCAUUCAAAUGGUAUAUCACAUUGAUUGGCUUGAAUAUGUUGAACCAUCCUUGCAUCCCAGAAAUAAGUGGCGCUCGAAUAUCUACAAUCCUUUUUAUAUCCUCUCAAAUACAGGUUUUUAGUACAAGUGGUCUUCAAGAAGUUUAUU
This is a long non-coding RNA of Sapajus apella (tufted capuchin), 633 nucleotides long. RefSeq lists it as uncharacterized. Lineage: Eukaryota; Metazoa; Chordata; Mammalia; Primates; Cebidae. The transcript is spliced from 2 exons. The record is from RefSeq and is a predicted model, not a curated record.